UACGUAGGUGACUAGCGUUGUCCGGAUUUACUGGGCGUAAAGAGCGCGCAGGCGGUCGUGCAAGUCGAGUGUGAAAGCCCCCGGCUCAACUGGGGAGGGUCACUCGAUACUGCUCGACUUGAAGGCGGGAGAGGGAAGCGGAAUUCCCGGUGUAGUGGUGAAAUGCGUAGAUAUCAGGAGGAAUACCGAUGGCGAAGGCAGGUAUCUGGGCUGAAACUGACGCUCAUGCACGAAAGCGGGGGGAGCAAACGGG
Molecule: ribosomal RNA, 253 nt
Filed under: uncultured prokaryote
Description: partial 16S ribosomal RNA
Rfam family: Bacterial small subunit ribosomal RNA
Source: RNAcentral